CCUACGGGUGGCUGCAGUGAGGAAUAUUGGUCAAUGGACGAGAGUCUGAACCAGCCAAGUAGCGUGAAGGAUGACUGCCCUAUGGGUUGUAAACUUCUUUUAUAUGGGAAUAAAAUGUUCCACGUGUGGGAUUUUGUAUGUACCAUAUGAAUAAGGAGCGGCUAACUACGUGCCAGCAGCGGCGGUAAUACGGAGGAUCCGAGCGUUAUCCGGAUUGAUUGGGGUUAAAGGGUGCGGAGGCUGGGAGGUAAGUCAGCGGUGAAAUGCCCCCGCUCAACGGGGUGAAGUGCCCUUGUUACUGCCUUGCUUGACUGCGGAUGCCGUGGGAGGCAUGUGUGUUGUAGCGGUGAAAUGCAUAGAUAUCACCC
This 368-nucleotide ribosomal RNA is filed under the name uncultured bacterium. Its description in RNAcentral is "partial 16S ribosomal RNA". It matches the Rfam family "Bacterial small subunit ribosomal RNA", at positions 338 to 702 of the family's 1533-position model. The record is from RNAcentral.